GUUGGGAGCCCUGGAGAUUUUCAAACAGACAAGUUUUCAAAGUUAUUUCUGUCCGCAGUCUGGAGUACAGAUUGGAAAGUGGAGAGAAACUGCAGACAGCGAGUCCAAAAGAGGCACCGAAUAUGGAAGCCUGCACUGGGUGGUCUGGAAGUGAUAAGGGUGAAGCUGACCUUAACAACAAUGAAGUGGUGAGCAGGACAGAUUAGAAGGCCUAACUCAGGAGCCCAGAAUGCCAGACAUGAGCAGAGACAGACAGCAUGCCAGGACCUAAGUACCACAGAGCCAAACUGCCCAACUGAUCACAGACAAGAGGGGAGGAAGUUGCCACUUUCUGCUUCUCUUCUACAGUGUGGAGGGAUCGAAAAAUGUCUCCUGAUAGUCAUUGACCAUCAUUGUAACUUCUUAUCAUAGUCCCUUGAGAUUUGG
This 426-nucleotide long non-coding RNA is filed under the name Equus asinus (donkey). Its description in RNAcentral is "lncRNA (ENSEASG00005035220.1)". The record is from RNAcentral. Lineage: Eukaryota; Metazoa; Chordata; Mammalia; Perissodactyla; Equidae.